AACGAACGCUGGCGGCAUGCCUAACACAUGCAAGUCGAACGAAGGCUUCGGCCUUAGUGGCGCACGGGUGCGUAACGCGUGGGAAUCUGCCCUUGGCUUCGGAAUAACAGUUAGAAAUGACUGCUAAUACCGGAUGAUGUCUUCGGACCAAAGAUUUAUCGGCCAGGGAUGAGCCCGCGUAGGAUUAGGUAGUUGGUGGGGUAAAGGCCUACCAAGCCGACGAUCCUUAGCUGGUCUGAGAGGAUGAUCAGCCACACUGGGACUGAGACACGGCCCAGACUCCUACGGGAGGCAGCAGUGGGGAAUAUUGGACAAUGGGCGCAAGCCUGAUCCAGCAAUGCCGCGUGAGUGAUGAAGGCCUUAGGGUCGUAAAGCUCUUUUACCCGGGAUGAUAAUGACAGUACCGGGAGAAUAAGCCCCGGCUAACUCCGUGCCAGCCGCCGCCGUAA
This 449-nucleotide ribosomal RNA is filed under the name uncultured bacterium. Its description in RNAcentral is "partial 16S ribosomal RNA". It matches the Rfam family "Bacterial small subunit ribosomal RNA", at positions 29 to 523 of the family's 1533-position model. The record is from RNAcentral.